AAAUCACUAAGUUGCGUAUUUCCAAUCGAAGUUUUGAUUGCCUGUAAAAGUAUAUGUUUCCCGAAAUUUAAUUGUGAUCCGGUUAAACUAUAGCGCUGGAUCGCGAUACUCGAGCAAGCUGUUGGAUGCAAAAUGAAGCUAGCCUACCGCUUUCGCUGCCUCCACCAGCAACUAGAGUUAGACGAGGAACAGAUUCGAGAACAAACA
Aedes aegypti (yellow fever mosquito) is the source of this 207-nucleotide long non-coding RNA. RefSeq lists it as uncharacterized. Lineage: Eukaryota; Metazoa; Arthropoda; Insecta; Diptera; Culicidae. The record is from RefSeq and is a predicted model, not a curated record. The transcript has 2 exons.